Molecule: ribosomal RNA, 586 nt
Filed under: Aureobasidium pullulans
Lineage: Eukaryota; Fungi; Ascomycota; Dothideomycetes; Dothideales; Saccotheciaceae
Description: eukaryotic LSU rRNA
Rfam family: 5.8S ribosomal RNA (bases 229-382)
Source: RNAcentral
AAAAAUCGUAACAAGGUUUCCGUAGGUGAACCUGCGGAAGGAUCAUUAAAGAGUAAGGGUGCUCAGCGCCCGACCUCCAACCCUUUGUUGUUAAAACUACCUUGUUGCUUUGGCGGGACCGCUCGGUCUCGAGCCGCUGGGGAUUCGUCCCAGGCGAGCGCCCGCCAGAGUUAAACCAAACUCUUGUUAUUAAACCGGUCGUCUGAGUUAAAAUUUUGAAUAAAUCAAAACUUUCAACAACGGAUCUCUUGGUUCUCGCAUCGAUGAAGAACGCAGCGAAAUGCGAUAAGUAAUGUGAAUUGCAGAAUUCAGUGAAUCAUCGAAUCUUUGAACGCACAUUGCGCCCCUUGGUAUUCCGAGGGGCAUGCCUGUUCGAGCGUCAUUACACCACUCAAGCUAUGCUUGGUAUUGGGUGCCGUCCUUAGUUGGGCGCGCCUUAAAGACCUCGGCGAGGCCUCACCGGCUUUAGGCGUAGUAGAAUUUAUUCGAACGUCUGUCAAAGGAGAGGACUUCUGCCGACUGAAACCUUUUAUUUUUCUAGGUUGACCUCGGAUCAGGUAGGGAUACCCGCUGAACUUAAGCAUAU